This is a non-coding RNA of Oncorhynchus mykiss (rainbow trout), 440 nucleotides long. Lineage: Eukaryota; Metazoa; Chordata; Actinopteri; Salmoniformes; Salmonidae. The record is from RefSeq and is a predicted model, not a curated record.
CUACCCGGCCUACUCAGCUGGACUGCCAUUCAGUCCAGUAACAGACUGAGAUUCCCUCUACUGAUGGACAUUGCAUAGAGCGUGAAAUGGGAGGAUCCCCCGGAUGACCAAAAUAAAGUCGUGGAGAACAUGAAGGAUGAAACAGAGACACAUGAGACCAACAAGAACAGGACAGGAGGCAAGGCUAAACGUAAGUCCAGUGGCGGUGCCAAGAAGACUUCCGUGGAGGAGGACAGCAGCAUUGGUGCAGGUCCGAGAUUACUUCAUGUUGGGUGCAGGUUGUGUUCAAAUUCAUCAGCACCGAUCUGAGUAGAUAGUAUCUAUAUAGGUGAAAGCAAUAUAGUGGAGGCCCGCAGAGAGAUGUGCUUUUACCUGUCCAGUGCAAUCAAAUCCCUAAAGGUGAAGGAAAUUAGGGAUCAAGUUCAGAUUCAACUUUAGAU